UUAUCGACAUUGGUUACGUCAUCUCUUUGAAUGAUGUAUGCGUGAAAAUAUUAUGUCGAUGAAAUGUCCCCUUCAUUUGUAAAUAGCUCCACAAAAGGGAAAUUUCCGUAACUUAACAACACUGCUUGGAAAUAUAAAAAAAGUGUCAAAAAAUGCAGAAACUAUAAAAUGAAGUGAAGUGAAUUACAAAAUAUGCAGCUAUUGUAUAUUACGUGCGUUCAUAAAAGCGAGCUACGCAGUUGCUACGAAGCUCUGCAAUUGGCUAUUUGUGCACAAGUUGGAGCGUUUUGCAGUGGCUUGGAUAAUAAGUGCAACCCCGCUACCUGAUCGUCCUCGCCAGCGCCGUUUAGGUCGGCGAAGUAUCUCAGAAGUUGUCCGUCCAUAGGGCAACAUUCACUA
Long non-coding RNA from Rhagoletis pomonella (apple maggot), 399 nucleotides. RefSeq lists it as uncharacterized. The transcript is spliced from 3 exons. Lineage: Eukaryota; Metazoa; Arthropoda; Insecta; Diptera; Tephritidae. The record is from RefSeq and is a predicted model, not a curated record.